Molecule: ribosomal RNA, 392 nt
Filed under: Escherichia coli
Lineage: Bacteria; Pseudomonadati; Pseudomonadota; Gammaproteobacteria; Enterobacterales; Enterobacteriaceae
Description: bacterial SSU rRNA
Rfam family: Bacterial small subunit ribosomal RNA
Source: RNAcentral
GUCCGGCCGGGAACUCAAAGGAGACUGCCAGUGAUAAACUGGAGGAAGGUGGGGAUGACGUCAAGUCAUCAUGGCCCUUACGACCAGGGCUACACACGUGCUACAAUGGCGCAUACAAAGAGAAGCGACCUCGCGAGAGCAAGCGGACCUCAUAAAGUGCGUCGUAGUCCGGAUUGGAGUCUGCAACUCGACUCCAUGAAGUCGGAAUCGCUAGUAAUCGUGGAUCAGAAUGCCACGGUGAAUACGUUCCCGGGCCUUGUACACACCGCCCGUCACACCAUGGGAGUGGGUUGCAAAAGAAGUAGGUAGCUUAACCUUCGGGAGGGCGCUUACCACUUUGUGAUUCAUGACUGGGGUGAAGUCGUAACAAGGUAACCGUAGGGGAACCUGCG